UACGUAGGGUGCGAGCGUUAAUCGGAAUUACUGGGCGUAAAGCGUGCGCAGGCGGCGCGUUAAGACAGGUGUGAAAGCCCCGAGCUUAACUUGGGAAUUGCGCUUGUGACUGGCGGGCUGGAGUGUGGCAGAGGGAGGUGGAAUUCCACGUGCAGCAGUGAAAUGCGUAGAGAUGUGGAGGAACACCGAUGGCGAAGGCAGCCUCCUGGGCCAGCACUGACGCUCAUGCACGAAAGCGUGGGGAGCAAACAGG
This 253-nucleotide ribosomal RNA is filed under the name uncultured bacterium. RNAcentral describes it as "partial 16S ribosomal RNA". It matches the Rfam family "Bacterial small subunit ribosomal RNA", at positions 524 to 776 of the family's 1533-position model. The record is from RNAcentral.